GUUGCAGGUGUCGGGUAGCUGGUCAGAGCUGAUGAGACGAUGGAUGGAGAUAACAGAAGAUCGUUUUGGAUGAAACCUGAUCUCCGUGAGAGCAGAGCUACUCCGCUGUGCUGCUGACUCAUCUGAAUCCUCUUUCACCAAACACUUCGGGACUUAAACCUCUCUUUAAGACAUCUAUGGCUCAGUGUAAAGAGUGGUUGUCUUCGAGUCUAAAGGGAGAGUUUAAUUCCAGCUUCCUACCACAUGUGAUGUUGGGCCAUGGAAAUGUCAGGGGUCGCGUUACGUCGGCGAUAAAGCGACGGUCACCCUGGGCCACGGUAAAAGGUCGGCACCGUGGUGACAGCUGGUUGAUAUCAAAGUUGGGGAGUCACUCAUGAGUCACCGCUUUAAAUCCUCCAUGUGGCAUUAAAAUCAUUUUCAGAUAUCCCCCCUCUAUCUGUCUUGUUUUAUUAGACGCUGUCUUGA
This is a non-coding RNA of Poecilia reticulata (guppy), 465 nucleotides long. The record is from RefSeq and is a predicted model, not a curated record. Lineage: Eukaryota; Metazoa; Chordata; Actinopteri; Cyprinodontiformes; Poeciliidae.